Molecule: long non-coding RNA, 1125 nt
Organism: Meriones unguiculatus (Mongolian gerbil)
Lineage: Eukaryota; Metazoa; Chordata; Mammalia; Rodentia; Muridae
Exons: 5
Source: RefSeq, a predicted model, not a curated record
AUGUGGAAGCUAGGUUCUCUUGGCUGGGCAAGGAUCAGCUCCUUCCACUGCUCCCCUGUGGGACUGAGCUAAGGGCAUGAAAGAAGCAGAGCCUUGUUGGGGUCUUUUGUGAUACUGAAAGUCCGCAGACCUAUCAGACGAGAAAACUGAGGCUUGGAGAGAAGUUGAGUAAUGUGCCAAGACCACAUAACUAGAAAGAUUUGGGACCAGUGUGGAAAGAACUCCAGCAAGUUUCAAAGUCUGAAUCGUCCUGCACCCUGCCAUUGACUUUCUCGGAGCAGCAGUCGUCUGCCUUGGGAAAAUGGUUCAAUGGGUUGAAAAACAACAAUGACAGUUUCUGUUUCUUGAAGUUUUUUAAGUGCCAAGCACUUCAGUGUGUAUUUCCAAACAUUUAUUUGCUCAUGUAGUAAAGUGUUGUUGAGCCUUUAUUCUAUACUAGUUACCAAAGGUACAGUAAUUAGCUAAAUCAACCUGAUUCUCUCUCUCUCUCUCUCUUUCUCUUUCUUAGAUUGAGAAGCAUUCCAUUAUUAGAGUUUGAGAGAAAAAAAAAAAAAAAACAUGAGGCAGGCAAGUUAUAAAUCUCAGCAGUUGCCAAGAGGAGGGAGAUGGAGAAGCAGAAGAGAGAAAACCAUGCCUUUUGAAUCGAGGGCAGCAACAGAGGUCAGCAAGAAGCUGUCUGAAGAGGGGGUGGAGAACUGGAAUUCAGAGAAACAGUGAGAAAGUCCAGAGUGUGGGGAUACUUUAGAAUAGAAAUCAGGUUGGGGCGAACUGAAGGAAGCUACGAAAAGAAGAAAUAACAAGUUGCUAGCAAUGUCAAGAGGCCUUGAGUGAUGUGAUACUGUGAAAUCAUUUUCCACUGCAAUUAGGAUUGGGAAGAAAAUUUAAAGAAAAAGCAAAAGAAGACAAGAUGAAUGAUGAGUGCCAGACAACAUCCCUAUCAGCAACCUCUUGAAGACACCUUCUUCAAAGCCAUGAAAAGAAAAGAAAAAGUUAUCUAAUAAUCAAGCGUCAUGGUUGAAAGCAGAGGUUUUGAGGAGGAGUGGCAUGUCAAAACAAAGGUCUAAUAUUUUUCUAAAGGUAGUGUCUGGCUAUAAUUCUCAGUUUGUCAAUAAAAUAUCCAUGAAC